Pantherophis guttatus is the source of this 4659-nucleotide RNA transcript. It is a transcript of the gene named MORN repeat containing 1, with no coding region annotated. NCBI's taxonomy places the organism in Eukaryota, Metazoa, Chordata, Lepidosauria, Squamata, Colubridae. The record is from RefSeq and is a predicted model, not a curated record.
GGAUCCGAUGGCGGCAAAACAGCGUCCCUUGAGGGAGACGGGGAAAAAUGGCGGCUGAGGGAGCCGCUUCAUACUGUGGGGAGAUGAAAGACCAGCGGAGGAAUGGUUAUGGACGUUACAUUUAUCCCAACUCCUUUUUCAAGUACGAAGGACAGUGGAAGCAAGGGAAAAAACAUGGACAUGGGAAAUUACUGCUCAAAGAUGGAAGUUAUUACGAAGGUGAAUUUGUGGAUGGAGAAAUUGUUGGCCAUGGACUCAGAUACUGGGCAUCAACAGGAAAUACUUAUUCCGGCCAAUUCCUCUUCGGAGAACUUCACGGGCACGGAGUUUUCCAUUAUGGCAAUGGUGGCAGAUAUGAAGGAGAAUUUUCUUACGGGAUGAGAGAAGGCCAUGGGUCACUGACGGAGAAGGAUGGGGAGACUUACCAAGGAAGCUUUCAUGACAACAAAAAACACGGAGGAGGGAAAAUGACAUUCCCAAAUGGAGAUAAAUUUGUGGGUGACUGGAUCCUGGAUCAAAGACAAGGCCACGGAGUUCUUCAGUGCUCUGAUGGAACCGUGUAUGAGGGACAAUGGAGAAACGAUAUGUUCAAUGGACAAGGCUGUAUGAUCCAUUGUUCGGGCGUCAUCUAUGACGGCCUCUGGCAUAACGGCUCCCCUCUUGGGCAAGCGAAGACAAUGGCGAUUAUAGGGCCGGAGGUGAUAGACGCAAGUCUAGGAUCGGUUCUUACUUUUCACAUCCAGCUGCAGACCGAUAACGGAGAGGUUUCUAAAAGCGAAAGGGGUCGAUUGCUGGAGAUUACGGCCAGGAUCAAAAAGAUCACCUUACCCGAAACCAGCUCCCACGAAUCGUUGGAAGCCACCGAGAAGCAACAUUUUUCGAAGUUUGGGAGUCCCAGUUACCCUUUGAAGUUGGUCAGGUCUGCAAGCCAAUCCCUGCAAAGCGUUUCCCUAGUUGUCAGCAAAUCAGGACACGCCGGGCCUGAAGCGGUAACCUCCCACGAAAAAAAGCCGGGACUUGAAACAAAGGACAAAGGAGGAAGCUAUUGCUUCGGUUUACCCCGUCUGCAAAGGAGCAAGCAUGGCCUGGUCACUUUCAGAAAUAUCCCCCUCGCCUUUCUUCUGGUCCCUGAUCCACAGGCUGGCCAGCUGCCUGAGAGAGAAGUUGAAAGGCAAAGUGCCAGGGCCUCCACGGAGCAAAUGGAAGCUUCCACCUCGUUUAUGGUCAGACGUAGCAGAUCAGGAAUAGCCACCGAAGGAUGGAAGUCCAGGGUGAAUGAAAGCUCGCCAAACCUCACACCACCUCCACCAGGAGAUUUUCCAGGCAGCAGAUCAGGAAGAAAAAAAGCGCAGAGGAACAGAGCUUCCAGGGAGGCAGCAGAGCGCAGAGUCUUUUGCGGCUAACCGUCAAGGGACCGUGCCAGGGUUUUCCGUAGCUGGCUUUUCCCUUGGCUCCCCUCCACGGCAGUUGAACUUGUGAGAAGGAAGGAAGGAAGGAAGGAAGGAAGGAAGGAAGGAAGGAAGGAAGGAUCUUAGCUUUCAGUAAGUAAACACAUUUUCUCUCUUUCUCUUUACCAUCCAUUAACACCCUAGUCGAACCUGCAGACUGUUAUGUUCCACAUGAAGAAAAAGAAAAGGCCAACACCAGCCUAUUGGGACCACCCAAUUUUUUGGAAAAAAAGAUUCCCACGUUGGCUGGGGAAUUCUGGGAGUUGCGGUCCACAACAUCUUAAAGUUGUCAAGAUGGAGGGGAAAACACUGCUUUAGCCUAAUAAAGACAGCGAUUAUAGUUCCAUUAGAAUUUGCUGUUUAGCUGAAUCAGGAACAGGAAGCCACCCUAUAGGUCUCACGCACACACACCGUCCUCUCAAGUUCCCUGUCAAUCUUCUCUGUUCCCCCCCCCCCAUCACUUUUGAACCCGUUAAAGUGGGUGUGAAACUGGCAGAGCGUUGAGUUCAAUCCUGAUUUGAUCACAUCUGCUCCAGAAGGGAAUGAUUUAAGGAUGGUUGUUUUAUUCGGUUGAUUGUUCGAUAAAUUCACCCGGCCUCCAGAGUGCUGGAAAAGCCCAUUGAAGCUGCCUCUCUGUGUGUAUUUUGGUUUCACACCUAGGCAAGAGUUGGCAUAAAUCCUCGCACAUUUGUGUCGUAAAGGUGUCUGCGAAACAGAUGUUAGACUGUCUGCAAAAGACCGCGCACCUUUCAAAGCAGGAAGGGGAGGUGAAUGGCAGUGCCAAGUCUUUGGGGUUGCCAGUCCUUGGGAGUUUAAAUCAGACAAAACCAGCCAGGAGCUUCUCAUUGCCUCUGAGAGAUGCUCAGUGGAUUAAAAUCGUACCCCUACUCCUUUUUGCAGCCUCCCAACCAGCUGAAUCUUCUGCAUCUCAACCAGAGGUGGGUUUCACCGGUUCGCUCACACCGGCUGAAAUACCACCACUGAUCUCAGCCCUACCAAAAUGAUACCCAGGUCUUGGCAGUGACUCCCAAUUCUACCUCCCGCCAUUAUUCCACCUAGGUGGGAAGAUUGGCACUGUCUAUCUCAGCUCCCAAAACUCCUUGGUAGUUUUCAUCCAGGUUGACAGAACCGAAUCCUUAUUUAAAUGAACUUACGGAACUCUCCGCCACCAGAUUUCUCAAAAGGGCCGGGCAAAUCCAUGUAUGCCAGAUGAAAAGCUCUGUGGGACAAUUUUGUAAUGCGGUGUAAUCAAAAUGUUAAGCGCCUUGUCGGAUUUACACGGCUGACUUAAGAGGUGCCGGAUUAUGUGAAAUUUUGCUGGGUUCCUCCAUGGGCCUCUCUUCGUAGAAUCGUUUUCAAAAAAGCUUAAUGAGAAAAAGAAGGUGGUCGUACUUAUUUCCCUCUCCAUUUUCCGAGCAAGGAGUAAAAUCCCCAAACAUUUGGAGCGAGGUCUUUGCUUCGUUGAACUUGUUUCUUGAAAUAUAUUAAGUUCAUUUUCUGUGAACCACAAAAAUUCCUUCCUACCUUAGAAAGUCGUAAUAAUCGAUUUACACAAUUUUUAAAAAAUGUAGUUGCAGAUUAGAACAUGUCCUGGCUAGGUGGUUGUUUAAGCUUCUGUUGAGUCACCUCCAUUGAGAAUCUCAUUUUUGGGCGAGGAAUACGAGACGCCGUCUUACUUUUUCUUCCCACCAAAAGACUUAAGAGAUUCACUGCAUUCGAAUUCCAUAUAUUAAAAAAAAAAAUUUCCAUCAAGAUGUCCAUGUCCACUUCUCCAAAGGCCAGUAUUCCAAUUCCCCUGGCAACAAUCCCCAAAAAUUGGCUCUUAAUUCCGAUUUCAAAUUUCUCCUAGUCAGCGGUGGGUUCCACAUAUUCUAUCAGUUCGCCCCAUGCGCACGCUCGCCUCACGUGCACGCGCCUGGCCUCGAAAAUGUGGCUAAAUAGGACGGCAUUACAUCCACCCGCAGUCGCUGCUAGCGGUUCGCUCGAACCAGUACGAACCAGCUGAAUACCACCUCUGUUCCUAGUGCAGAGAAAUAUGUUUAUUUUUCGCCCCUUAUUAUGUUGCCGUUGUAACUUCGAAUGGUCAUUUAAGGAACUGUUGUAACUCAAGGACUACCUGGAUAGUCUUCCAGGUUCAAGAAACACCCAUUUAUUGUUGACUCCCAAUUUUUAUACCCCGAAAUUGGGGUUUUUUCUGAAUCACGUGGAUUACUCAAUUGGUGAGAUUAUGUAAACUUUAAUAGUAAAAAUAACAUACUUUUUACGGGGUUUGGAAUUUAUUUUUUCCGGACAAUUUUAUUAGCGAUAAUGAGUCUAUACACUGUACAUAAAGUCACUGAGACGUUAUUUAUAAGCAUAGCUAUUUUUAUACAUACUUUGAUAAAAGUCCUUUAUGUUACAAUAUUCUCUGUUUCCAAGUUGGGGGAAAAAAAGGGAAAGAUAGGGCGAAGAGUUACCAAUUUCUUUUCCCCUCUUUUUCUGUCACUCAAGCAAGCACAUUUAAUUACAUAAAAAAUUAAGUCUAAAACAGGGAAGGCAUCGAAUUGUUAGCAGCAGCGGUGAGACAGAGGCAAAAACGUGCUCAAUUUUUUUUAAAAAAAAAAAUCUAUUCAAAAAUUGCAGUUUUGAGUCCCUCCGUUGAAACUGGAAUUAUUUUGUUUCUUCUUUUUUUUAAAAAAAAAAAAUCUCUCGUACGUAAACUGCUUGAAUUAGAGAAGGAAAUCUCCAUUUUAUUUUAUUUUAUUUUAACCAUAUAAUACAAUGAAGCAUGACUAUAUAAGACGCCAAUAAAGGGACCAAAGAUUUUAACCGACGUCGAAAUUCCAAAAUAGAUUUGGUUAUUUCUUGGUGGUGGGGCUUUAUUAGAUCCUAACAAAUUUCAACCUUUCUUCGAUUUCAAAGCGUUGAGUUGUAAAACAAAGCAGCUCAGGAAGAAGAAGGAACAGAACCUCAAAAAGUGAAACUCCAUAUACACUUAUUAUACAGCUAGAAAUGAAGUAUUUACAGUGUUUUAUGCUUUUAUUUUACAUUGGGUAAAUUCCGUUUGAAAAAGGAGAUUUUUUUUUUUUAAAUCGUUCUUAGCUGCUCCGUAGACAUCAAUGUUUUAUUGCUGUUGGUAUAUAUAUAUAUAUAUAUUUUCCCCAUCCCCGCCCCUUGUUAAAAAUGUAGCUGGGUAUGUCUUUAAAAAUUGAAUUAAACUGCAUAUACAAUA